GUGAUAACCUGCCCUUGGGUCCGGCAUAACCCCGGGAAACUGGGGAUAAUUCCGGAUAACGCGCAUAUGCUGGAAUGCUUUACGCGUAAAAUGGAUUCGUCUGCCCAAGGAUGGGUCUGCGGCCUAUCAGGUAGUAGUGGGUGUAAUGUACCUACUAGCCUACGACGGGUACGGGUUGUGAGAGCAAGAGCCCGGAGAUGGAUUCUGAGACAUGAAUCCAGGCCCUACGGGGCGCAGCAGGCGCGAAAACUUUACAAUGCGGGAAACCGUGAUAAGGGGACACCGAGUGCCAGCAUCAUAUGCUGGCUGUCCAGGUGUGUAAAAUACACCUGUUAGCAAGGGCCGGGCAAGACCGGUGCCAGCCGCCGCGGUAACACCGGCGGCCCGAGUGGUGAUCGUGAUUAUUGGGUCUAAAGGGUCCGUAGCCGGUUUGGUCAGUCCUCCGGGAAAUCUGACAGCUCAACUGUUAGGCUUUCGGAGGAUACUGCCAGACUUGGAACCGGGAGAGGUAAGAGGUACUACAGGGGUAGGAGUGAAAUCUUGUAAUCCCUGUGGGACCACCUGUGGCGAAGGCGUCUUACCAGAACGGGUUCGACGGUGAGGGACGAAAGCUGGGGGCACGAACCGGAUUAGAUACCCGGGUAGUCCCAGCCGUAAACGAUGCUCGCUAGGUGUCAGGCAUGGCGCGACCGUGUCUGGUGCCGCAGGGAAGCCGUGAAGCGAGCCACCUGGGAAGUACGGCCGCAAGGCUGAAACUUAAAGAU
This 764-nucleotide ribosomal RNA is filed under the name uncultured Methanosarcinales archaeon. Its description in RNAcentral is "bacterial SSU rRNA". It matches the Rfam family "Archaeal small subunit ribosomal RNA", at positions 100 to 863 of the family's 1478-position model. Lineage: Archaea; Methanobacteriati; Methanobacteriota; Methanomicrobia; Methanosarcinales. The record is from RNAcentral.